Molecule: ribosomal RNA, 394 nt
Filed under: Clostridioides difficile
Lineage: Bacteria; Bacillati; Bacillota; Clostridia; Peptostreptococcales; Peptostreptococcaceae
Description: bacterial LSU rRNA
Rfam family: Bacterial large subunit ribosomal RNA
Source: RNAcentral
UCAGGUGGCCGCAGAGAAUAGGCCCAAGCGACUGUUUACCAAAAACAUAGGUUUCUGCUAAGUCGCAAGACAGAUGUAUAGGAGCUGACGCCUGCCCGGUGCUGGAAGGUUAAGGGGAUCUGUUAGAGCAAUCGAAGCAGGGAACUUAAGCCCCAGUAAACGGCGGCCGUAACUAUAACGGUCCUAAGGUAGCGAAAUUCCUUGUCGGGUAAGUUCCGACCCGCACGAAAGGCGUAACGAUUUGGGCACUGUCUCAACAACAGACUCGGUGAAAUUGUAAUUCCGGUGAAGAUGCCGGAUACCUGCGACAGGACGGAAAGACCCCAUGGAGCUUUACUGUAGCUUGACAUUGGGUCUUGGUACUACAUGUACAGGAUAGGUGGGAGGCUUUGAA